UAAUAAUGUUAAGCAAAUAGCAACUACGUUUUAUAAACAAUCGCUAUUGUACUACAGGUGAAUAACGACAGUAAUCGAUUAUAAUACAUAUGUAAUUUUAUAUAGAUACACGCUAUAAAACUAACAAACGACGGGUAACCAAUAUGACAUAUGGACUUUGUAACGAGCAAGAUAGUAAAAAUAUUAAGAAGUAAACAGGAAGAAGCUCAGUAGCCGAGGGGCCAAGGGGGGCUUGCGCCUCAACAACAAAACUCACGCAGAAGGGAAAAUUACAUAACAAAGUCCCCGCACCUACACCACCGCACCAGUGCAGCGUUAUACCAUAUGUAAAAACUUACAAUACAGUAAUAGCUAAUGAACUAAGAUCACAGGCGUGCAUGCGGCGAAGAUGUCGUGUCCUGAUUAGAAUUCCUGGAAAAAGGGGGAGGUGCGCAAAGGUGACAAAAAAUCUAAAGAGGGGGAUCGUUUUGCGCAACGAUCGACCCCUAUAAAAACGGCCACCGAUCACUCGAUCGUCCUCUUGGUUUCUACCACCAGAUUCGUCAUCUUGUUCCGGUACAGUCUCGUGGUAAAAUCCUUUUGCCUUUUGCAUUUAAACUUUUCAUACAACGUUACUCUGCCCAAAAGUCCAGCGAGCUUUCAGCUCCAUUUUGUCAUAUUAAGUUUAAGAUCUUACACUGUGUAACUCCGUUUUGUGACUUGAAAUAUUAAACUUAUAAAAUAAAUCGAAGUUAAUCAAAGUAUUCAAAUACAUUAGAGUCAGUUAUUCCGUUAAAUCCUCUCACCAAUCUACGCUGCAACUCGUCACAUCCAGAGUAUUCUCAAGAGGUACCGUUCGACGUCACAGUAGGAAAAAUGCAUCCCGUAAAUCAGCGGAGCCGGAACGCCUCUGAUUGGGGCUUGAAAAGUCACUGGAUUCCGGGUUCGUGGACACGGAACAAAUUCCGGACUAUGGGACGGCAGCCUCGCUCUGGACCGAUAGCUAUAUGAUCAGAACGUCCGGAGCGACGCUGGUGAUAAAACCGUGCACUAUUAAAUCUCGGAGUUUCGUGGACGCCUGUUCUGCCUUCCCGCCUUAGAGAUUGGAC
Molecule: long non-coding RNA, 1088 nt
Organism: Neodiprion fabricii
Lineage: Eukaryota; Metazoa; Arthropoda; Insecta; Hymenoptera; Diprionidae
Exons: 3
Source: RefSeq, a predicted model, not a curated record